UACGUAGGUGGCAAGCGUUGUCCGGAAUUAUUGGGCGUAAAGCGCGCGCAGGCGGUUUCUUAAGUCUGAUGUGAAAGCCCCCGGCUCAACCGGGGAGGGUCAUUGGAAACUGGGAAACUUGAGUGCAGAAGAGGAAAGUGGAAUUCCAAGUGUAGCGGUGAAAUGCGUAGAGAUUUGGAGGAACACCAGUGGCGAAGGCGACUUCUGGUCUGUAACUGACGCUGAGGCGCGAAAGCGUGGGGAGCAAACAGG
RNAcentral lists this ribosomal RNA (252 nucleotides) under uncultured bacterium. Its description in RNAcentral is "partial 16S ribosomal RNA". It matches the Rfam family "Bacterial small subunit ribosomal RNA", at positions 524 to 776 of the family's 1533-position model. The record is from RNAcentral.